Molecule: non-coding RNA, 74 nt
Organism: Callorhinchus milii (elephant shark)
Lineage: Eukaryota; Metazoa; Chordata; Chondrichthyes; Chimaeriformes; Callorhinchidae
Source: the annotation of a RefSeq genome assembly
AGUUCUGUGGCUUAGUGGUUAGAGUACUUGCCUCCCAAGCAAGAGGGCCUGGGUUCGAUUCCCGGGCAGGGUGA